UACGAAGGGGGCUAGCGUUGCUCGGAAUCACUGGGCGUAAAGGGUGCGUAGGCGGGUCUUUAAGUCAGGGGUGAAAUCCUGGAGCUCAACUCCAGAACUGCCUUUGAUACUGAAGAUCUUGAGUUCGGGAGAGGUGAGUGGAACUGCGAGUGUAGAGGUGCAAUUCGUAGAUAUUCGCAAGAACACCAGUGGCGAAGGCGGCUCACUGGCCCGAUACUGACGCUGAGGCACGAAAGCGUGGGGAGCAAACAGG
Molecule: ribosomal RNA, 253 nt
Filed under: uncultured bacterium
Lineage: Bacteria
Description: partial 16S ribosomal RNA
Rfam family: Bacterial small subunit ribosomal RNA
Source: RNAcentral